This 400-nucleotide ribosomal RNA is filed under the name uncultured bacterium. RNAcentral's name for it is "bacterial SSU rRNA". It matches the Rfam family "Bacterial small subunit ribosomal RNA", at positions 28 to 424 of the family's 1533-position model. The record is from RNAcentral.
GAUGAACGCUGGCGGCGUGCUUAACACAUGCAAGUCGAGGGGCAGCGAGGGUAGCAAUACCUGUCGGCGACCGGCGGAAGGGUGAGUAACGCGUGAGCAACAUACCCGUAUCAGUGGGAUAAUACAGGGAAACUUGUUCUAAUAUCGCAUAAUAUUAUUCAGAGGCAUCUUUGGAUAAUUAAAGUUACGGCGGAUACGGAAUGGCUCGCGUGACAUUAGCUAGAUGGUAGGGUAAUGGCCUACCAUGGCGAUGAUGUCUAGGGGUUCUGAGAGGGAGGUCCCCCACACUGGAACUGAGACACGGUCCAGACUCCUACGGGAGGCAGCAGUGAGGAAUAUUGGACAAUGGAUGGAAAUCUGAUCCAGCCAUGCCGCGUGCAGGAAGGCGGCCCUAUGGGUU